Long non-coding RNA from Populus nigra (black poplar), 1213 nucleotides. RefSeq lists it as uncharacterized. The transcript has 3 exons. The record is from RefSeq and is a predicted model, not a curated record. NCBI's taxonomy places the organism in Eukaryota, Viridiplantae, Streptophyta, Magnoliopsida, Malpighiales, Salicaceae.
GCUUCCACGCCUUAAAACAGGCAACAGGGCCCAAGGAAUCAGAUCUGGACCCGAACACAGAAAUCAACGACAAAUCAUCCUAGUCCUCAUCAUUAGCUUCGUAUACCCCAUCUUAGGCUACCAUACCCGUCUCCCAUCGUCAUUUCCGCGUCUCGAAAAUUGUCCGAAUAAUUACUGAGGAUAAACAUUUACUGAUCAUUGAAUCUCUUGUUAGUUUCACUGAAGAUUUCUACAUUAGUAGAAUCAUGGUUUUGAUGUUGCUAUAAUUGGUGAUUUGAUUGACUUUUUUUCUUCUUUUUUUGUGGAUUUGUUGUGGCAGGGCGGGAAGAAUUGAUUUCGGAUUUGUCAAAUUUGGGGCAUCCAAUUCAGAGAUCCACAGACAAGAAGGGAAGACAUACUUGAGUAUGUGGCCACCAGGCAGUAACUAUCGCUUAGUAAAAGAGUUGAGACCCCGAAUAAAAUAAUCAGAAGGAGCUGUUAGUUCAUCCAACAAGGACUCAGAUUUAUCAAGGAGUGCACUUCAGAAAAUGAGAUCCUUGGAGGUUAUGUUGUCAAAAGUCAGUCGUGUUUUCCCAGACUGCUCUGCCAUGGCUUCGAAGCUCCGCGCCAUGACUUACAAUGCUGAAGAAAAGGUUCGAGCACAGAAGAAUCAAGCAACAUAUCUUGUUCAGAUUGCAGGAAGGACUACACCGAAAGGCCUACACUGCCUUUCUACGCGGCUGACUGCUGAAUUUUUUGCCUUGCCAGCUGAGGAAAGACAGCUCCCUAACCAACAAAGAGUGCAGGAUCCAGAUCUCUAUCACUAUGCUGUUUUCACUGGCAAUGUUCUGUCCUGUGCAGUGGUUGUCAAUUCUACUGUGUCCUCUGCCAUGGUAAAUUGCAUCUGCCUUUUUUGAUUGUUUUUUAGCUUGUGUAUACAGAUUUCACUUCAGGCUUCUGAUGAGGCUGUUAUAACUUGCGUAGUUACAGAGAAAAAGUUAUUUGGAAUAAAUAUAAGCGGCAAUUAAAUCAUCUCCAGCAAGUGGACUGGCUCCCAUUAGUGAUUCCUAUGUUAAGACUGACACCUUUUCUCUUUCCAAGAGAGAAAAAAUUUGUGCCUGCAAUCACACUAGUAUCAUAUUUGCCAGAAUAUUAUACAUCCUGUCCAAGUCGAAACAAUAUUUUUUGUAUGUCCUAGCAAAUCGUGUGACCGUUGCGCCGUCGAGAAAAUUUU